CCUACGGGUGGCAGCAGUGAGGAAUAUUGGUCAAUGGACGGAAGUCUGAACCAGCCAUGCCGCGUGCAGGAAGACGGCUCUAUGAGUUGUAAACUGCUUUUGUACAAGGGUAAACCUGAAUACGUGUAUUCAGCUGAAAGUACUGUACGAAUAAGGAUCGGCUAACUCCGUGCCAGCAGCCGCGGUAAUACGGAGGAUCCAAGCGUUAUCCGGAUUUAUUGGGUUUAAAGGGUGCGUAGGCGGAUUGAUAAGUUAGAGGUGAAAUGUCCGAGCUUAACUCGGGAACUGCCUCUAAUACGGUUGAUCUAGAGAGUAGAUGCGGUAGGCGGAAUGUAUGGUGUAGCGGUGAAAUGCUUAGAGAUAAGACAGAACACCGAUUGCGAAGGCGACUAUCUGGCACAUAACUGACGCUGAGGAGCGAAAGCGUGGGUAGCAAACAGGAUUAGAUACCCGGGUAGUC
Molecule: ribosomal RNA, 460 nt
Filed under: uncultured bacterium
Lineage: Bacteria
Description: partial 16S ribosomal RNA
Rfam family: Bacterial small subunit ribosomal RNA
Source: RNAcentral